ACKGCUCAGUAACACGUGGACAACCUACCCUCAGCACGGGGAUAAACCCGGGAAACUGGGUAUAAUACCCGAUAGAACUGGGAUGCUGGAAUGCUUCCAGGUCGAAAGCUCCGGCGACUGAGGAUGGGUCUGCGGCCUAUCAGGUAGUAGUGAGUGUAACGUACCUACUAGCCUACGACGGGUACGGGUUGUGAGAGCAAGAGCCCGGAGAUGGAUUCUGAGACACGAAUCCAGGCCCUACGGGGUGCAGCAGGCGCGAAAACUUUACAAUGCUGGCAACAGCGAUAAGGGGACCUCGAGUGCCAGGAUACAAUCUUGGCUGUCGUGAUGCCUAAAAAGCAUUGCAUAGCAAGGGCCGGGCAAGACCGGUGCCAGCCGCCGCGGUAACACCGGCGGCUCGAGUGGUAACCGCUAUUAUUGGGUCUAAAGGGUCUGUAGCCGGCCGGAUAAGUCUUUUGGGAAAUCCAGCUGCUCAACAGUUGGGCUUUCAGAAGAUACUGUUCGGCUCGAGGCCGGGAGAGGUGAGAGGUACUUCAGGGGUAGGGGUGAAAUCUUGUAAUCCUUGAAGGACCACCAGUGGCGAAGGCGUCUCACCAGAACGGACCUGACGGCAAGGGACGAAAGCUAGGGGCACGAACCGGAUUAGAUACCCGGGUAGUCCUAGCCGUAAACGAUACUCGCUAGGUGUCGGCCACGGUGCGACCGUGGUCGGUGCCGUAGGGAAGCCGUGGAGCGAGCCACCUGGGAAGUACGGCCGCAAGGCUGAAACUUAAAGGAAUUGGCGGGGGAGCAC
This 793-nucleotide ribosomal RNA is filed under the name uncultured Methanosarcinales archaeon. Its description in RNAcentral is "bacterial SSU rRNA". It matches the Rfam family "Archaeal small subunit ribosomal RNA", at positions 85 to 879 of the family's 1478-position model. Lineage: Archaea; Methanobacteriati; Methanobacteriota; Methanomicrobia; Methanosarcinales. The record is from RNAcentral.